RNAcentral lists this long non-coding RNA (1371 nucleotides) under Pogona vitticeps (central bearded dragon). Its description in RNAcentral is "lncRNA (ENSPVIG00000002220.1)". The record is from RNAcentral. Lineage: Eukaryota; Metazoa; Chordata; Lepidosauria; Squamata; Agamidae.
UCAAUUCUCUGGCUGCAAGUCGAAUCUAAAUUUUGCAGCCAGAGAAGUCUGUAACUCGAAAAGUUUGUAAGUCGAGCCGUCUGUAAGUCGAGGGUCCACUGUAUAGGUAGAACUGGAAAAAAGGCAAGAAGGUCAUUGACCCUGGGCCUUGCUUGCCUUCCAGUCACUGUGGCUUGCUGGGGCGCCAUAAGAGGAAGGCGUGUCAGCAGUUCAAGCAGGGUUUAGAGCAGGAGAACCUCAGGUGAAGUGAGGCAAGACAAAGCUUCAGACAAAAGAGGGUAAACCUUCAGCAGAGACUCUGGAGAAGGGUCCACCACCGCCUGCUUGCAGAUUCAUUGAGCCUAUUGCAAUGCCAUCAGCAGCUUCUGAGAGGAAAAAGAUGGUGGAAAAAGAUGGAAGAAGUAUCCAGGAUCAGAUCCUGUCAGUCUCCAGCAACACCUCUCUUCCUGAAAAUAUCAUGGGUCUAACUGUGAUAGGGAAUAGAUUAUUAGUCAAAAGCUAUCAUGGUAGUGAUUCCUGUUCUUCGCUGUCUCCAGAAUGUAGGAGAAGAUCAGUGUUGCAGGCAAUGAAAGUUGCCAGAUGAAGUUAAGACUUUUUUGUCUGCUUUGGUCGACAAUAGUUCUUGCAGAAUUAAAGCCAGCUAAGUGACUCGCCACACAUUAUUUCGACAAAGGAUGCAUCUGGCUCAGUUGUGAACUAGUUUACAGUACUCCCUAUUCAUUUUUGUUAAAGGUUAACAAAACUGUUUAGACAACUUUAAUGGCUGUUCAUCAGUCUUUGGCUUGAAGUUGAUUAAUGGGGCUCAUUUCUGCAGUGAAUUCUUUAAUUGCUCCUUAUUUACUAGAGGGAGGAGGCAGGGUAUAAUUUUGAUGAAGACAGCUGUCUGGAGUGUUCAUUCACCUUGUAAAUUUAGCUGGUUUUGGGAUACCUCUCAUAUAUACAUAUGCCUACUUGCUGUUCUGUAUCUUUUCCAUACUGGUGUGUCACACUGGAAACAUGUAAUUAUUAUUUGCAUGGGAUAUAUGAGUUGCAGGAAUUCCUGCCUUUUAUCUAUCAAAUAACCAAGAUGUGCUUUGAAAGGUUGCUGGCUAGCAUGUAAAUUUCAUGUUUAACAUACUUCAUUCUUCAUUUCAUUACAAAUAAGUAAAUUCAUGCAGUUGGAAAUCAAGUCUUCUGCAUUUCCUAUCAUUUACCCUCUUCUCUUUUUUUCCAGCAACAUGAUUGCAAGCCCAUUUCUUCUUUGAACAUAAUUUGAACAUUUGAUUUGAACAUUAGGACCCACUUGUUUGUCUCUCUAGCAAUCCAGGGUACCUGCAAAGCACCACAAUUCAAAUGAAUAAAUUUUCUUUGUUUCAUCUUUCUUAACUGUUC